This 274-nucleotide ribosomal RNA is filed under the name uncultured bacterium. RNAcentral's name for it is "partial 16S ribosomal RNA". It matches the Rfam family "Bacterial small subunit ribosomal RNA", at positions 523 to 796 of the family's 1533-position model. The record is from RNAcentral.
AUACGGAGGGUGCGAGCGUUAAUCGGAAUUACUGGGCGUAAAGGGUGCGUAGGCGGCUUGAUAAGUCGGAUGUGAGAGCCCCGGGCUUAACCUGGGAAUUGCAUUCGAUACUGUCAGGCUAGAGUAUGUCAGAGGUUGGCGGAAUUCCUGGUGUAGCGGUGAAAUGCGUAGAUAUCAGGAGGAACACCAGUGGCGAAGGCGGCUAACUGGGACAAUACUGACGCUGAGGCACGAAAGCGUGGGGAGCAAACAGGAUUAGAAACCCCAGUAGUCC